This 464-nucleotide ribosomal RNA is filed under the name uncultured bacterium. RNAcentral describes it as "partial 16S ribosomal RNA". It matches the Rfam family "Bacterial small subunit ribosomal RNA", at positions 28 to 506 of the family's 1533-position model. The record is from RNAcentral.
GACGAACGCUGGCGGCGUGCUUAACACAUGCAAGUCGAACGGAAAGGCCCUGCUUGCAGGGUACUCGAGUGGCGAACGGGUGAGUAACACGUGGGUGAUCUGCCCUGCACUUCGGGAUAAGCCUGGGAAACUGGGUCUAAUACCGGAUAGGAGCCAUUUUUAGUGUGAUGGUUGGAAAGUUUUUUCGGUGUAGGAUGAGCUCGCGGCCUAUCAGCUUGUUGGUGGGGUAAUGGCCUACCAAGGCGGCGACGGGUAGCCGGCCUGAGAGGGUGGACGGCCACAUUGGGACUGAGAUACGGCCCAGACUCCAACGGGAGGCAACAGUGGGGAAUAUUGCACAAUGGGCGCAAGCCUGAUGCAGCGACGCCGCGUGGGGGAUGACGGCCUUCGGGUUAUAAACUCCUUUCGCUAGAGACGAAGCUUUUUGGAACGUUACCUAGAUAAGAAGCACCGGCGAACUACGU